UUUAGAAAAGGAUGGGUUCCUGCCUUUCCUCUGGUCUGUGAGCCACCCCAUGAGGAGCCAGUGGAGGUGACAUCUUCAAAGACAACAAAUAAUUCCCAGCUGCCCAGAACAUCUCCCACACUUUGCUGCUGUUAAGCUGAGAAGUGGAUUCUUCACGACUACUUUGCUGUAUCUGAGUCCUGUGCAGCUUUGGCAGUGAGAGGGAGGACAACUCCAGGAACCUCAGGCAAAGCUCUCUGUAUCCUGCAACCAUUAAACCCUGACAUCAGGAUCUCACACCAAUGGCAUCCGCUUAACUUUCAGAUAGAGCCACAAGAGAAGGACACUAAGAGGUAGGAUCACAUGUUAGUUCUAACCAGAUAAUGUCCUAUGGAGAAUGCUUCAGCAGCUGGCCUCAAGAUCUGUCACCAACCUCUCUCUGAUGGUAGAAGAAAACCCUGUGACAGCUUCCUCCAUCCCCUUUUGGAGUUGAGUUGGAAGCCAGGCUCAUAACAUGUCUCCAGCCUUGGAAAGAGAAAGUAUUUCUUCAAAGUUCCAAAUCCACUGUCACAGCUGUGCAUGAAACUUGUCCUUGAUGGUCACUGGGUUCCCAGCACAUAAUGCCACUGCAGGUUGCUUUCAUGUGUCUACAUGAGCUCUCCCAGUGCCUUGUAGUGCCUUGCACAAAGCAGGCAUGACCUCUGCCCGAAGGAAUUCCACAAGGCAGUGAGAUGUCUAGCUGCUAGAAAAUCACCUGCAAUUAUUCACACCCUCAAAAUUGCAGGAGCAAAAUGAGACCCUGCUUUUCAAAAUCAGGUCCAUUAUGUGUCUGCAAAGUAUAUAAUCUCCACAUAAUUCAUCAACACCAUUAAUCUAAACUCCUAUGUACUGAGCUCAAUAGCGCAUGUGUUUUCCAUGUGUGUGUAAUAUCAAACAAACGUGUGUUUAACUUGU
Long non-coding RNA from Gallus gallus (chicken), 933 nucleotides. Lineage: Eukaryota; Metazoa; Chordata; Aves; Galliformes; Phasianidae. The record is from Ensembl.